Long non-coding RNA from Alligator mississippiensis (American alligator), 525 nucleotides. RefSeq lists it as uncharacterized. The transcript has 3 exons. The record is from RefSeq and is a predicted model, not a curated record. NCBI's taxonomy places the organism in Eukaryota, Metazoa, Chordata, Crocodylia, Alligatoridae.
UGGAGCCCAGCCUAUGGGACUGUCUAGGUGCAGGUUAACAGGCUGCAGUGUGCUGUGGAGAUUUUCUUCUCUCUCCUAGGAGUGGCAAGUUUCGUUUGUAACAAAUUAUGCUGGGUUAUGAGAAGACAGAGCUCAGUGAAGGCACUGGAGUGGAGCCUACUUCAGGAACCAAAUUGAAAGGAUUCACCCUGCUGAGCUGAUCUGGACCAGAGAGCCUGUGGGACUACAGGGCAUAUGGCAAAGGUGGCCCAAAGAUGAGCAUACAGAGAGAGGCAUUUAAAGUUGUUCCUUUCCUGUAGAACAGAGGGCCUGUCUCACAAGUUCAGUAACUUCAGGUCAUGGCAGGUAAAAGCGGAGGUACCUGAGCUGCCCAGGAUUUGUCUUAGCAGUCAGACAAUUGAGAACAAGGUGAAGGGAAAGAAAACCUAAAGAUUACACAUGCAAAUCAAGAAUAAUCAAAUUUGGGCUUUCUAAGGUGCACUGCAGUGUAUGUGAAACUUGUAGUCUGGAAAGUCAGGAAUAAAA